This is a non-coding RNA of Nerophis lumbriciformis (worm pipefish), 132 nucleotides long. Lineage: Eukaryota; Metazoa; Chordata; Actinopteri; Syngnathiformes; Syngnathidae. The record is from RefSeq and is a predicted model, not a curated record.
ACCUUCUCAUGAGCUCCUCAUAGUCAUGCCAUGAUUAUGCAUGGAUUCGCACGAGAAGCAGAGCCAAUGCACAGUUUAAACAGGCUCACUCAGUCACAUGAGGUUACAGCCCAUGUCUGCUGUGCUACAUGA